This 253-nucleotide ribosomal RNA is filed under the name uncultured bacterium. RNAcentral's name for it is "partial 16S ribosomal RNA". It matches the Rfam family "Bacterial small subunit ribosomal RNA", at positions 524 to 776 of the family's 1533-position model. The record is from RNAcentral.
UACGAGGGGUGCAAGCGUUAUUCGGAUUUAUUGGGCGUAAAGGGUGCGUAGACGGCAUGCUAAGUCAACUGUUAAAUUCCUCGGCCUAACUGAGGAUCAGCGGUAGAAACUGGCGCGCUUGAGGGUGAGAGAGAGAAGUGGAAUUCUCGGAGUAGCGGUAAAAUGCGUAGAUCUCGAGAGGAACACCGAUGGCGAAGGCAGCUUCUUGGCUCAUACCUGACGUUGAGGCACGAAAGCGUGGGGAGCAAACAGG